GAUGAACGCUGGCGGCGUGCCUAAUACAUGCAAGUCGAGCGAACAGACGAGGAGCUUGCUCCUCUGACGUUAGCGGCGGACGGGUGAGUAACACGUGGAUAACCUACCUACAAGACUGGGAUAACUUCGGGAAACCGGAGCUAAUACCGGAUAACAUGUUGAACCGCAUGGUUCAACAGUGAAAGACGGUCUUGCUGUCACUUAUAGAUGGAUCCGCGCCGCAUUAGCUAGUUGGUAAGGUAACGGCUUACCAAGGCAACGAUGCGUAGCCGACCUGAGAGGGUGAUCGGCCACACUGGAACUGAGACACGGUCCAGACUCCUACGGGAGGCAGCAGUAGGGAAUCUUCCGCAAUGGGCGAAAGCCUGACGGAGCAACGCCGCGUGAGUGAUGAAGGUCUUCGGAUCGUAAAACUCUGUUAUUAGGGAAGAACAAAUGUGUAAGUAACUAUGCACGUCUUGACGGUACCUAAUCAGAAAGCCACGGCUAACUACGUG
Molecule: ribosomal RNA, 497 nt
Filed under: uncultured bacterium
Lineage: Bacteria
Description: partial 16S ribosomal RNA
Rfam family: Bacterial small subunit ribosomal RNA
Source: RNAcentral